Molecule: ribosomal RNA, 956 nt
Filed under: uncultured eukaryote
Lineage: Eukaryota
Description: SSU rRNA
Rfam family: Eukaryotic small subunit ribosomal RNA
Source: RNAcentral
AGAUUAGCCAUGCAUGUCUAAGUAUAAGCACUUGUACUGUGAAACUGCGAAUGGCUCAUUAAAUCAGUUAUCGUUUAUUUGAUUGUACCUUACUACAUGGAUACCUGUGGUAAUUCUAGAGCUAAUACAUGCGAAAAGUCCCAACUUCUGGAAGGGAUGUAUUUAUUAGAUUAAAAACCAAUGCAAGUCUUCGGGCUCGUUUUCUUGGUGAUUCAUGAUAACUUUUCGAAUCGCAUGGCCUAGAGCCGGCGAUACUUCAUUCAAAUUUCUGCCCUAUCAACUGUCGAUGGUAAGGUAGUGGCUUACCAUGGUUAUAACGGGUGACGGAGAAUUAGGGUUCGAUUCCGGAGAGGGAGUCUGAGAAACGGCUACCACAUCUAAGGAAGGCAGCAGGCUCGAAAAUUACCCAAUCCCGACUCGGGGAGGUAGUGACAAGAAAUAACGAUACGGGGUCUUAAUAGGUCUCGCAAUUGGAAUGAGUACAAUUUAAAUCCUUUAACGAGGAUCAAUUGGAGGGCAAGUCUGGUGCCAGCAGCCGCGGUAAUUCCAGCUCCAAUAGCGUAUAUUAAAGUUGUUGCAGUUAAAAAGCUCGUAGUUGGAUUUCGGAGUGGGCCAGUUGGUCCGCCGCAAGGUGUGUUACUGACUGGUUUGCUCUUCUUCGCAAAGACUGCGUGUGCUCUUGAGUGAGUGUGCGUAGAAUUUACGACGUUUACUUUGAAAAAAUUAGAGUGUUCAAAGCAGGCUAUUGCUUGAAUACAUGAGCAUGGAAUAAUGGAAUAGGACUUUGGUCCCAUUUUGUUGGUUUCUAGGGCCGAAGUAAUGAUUAAGAGGGACAAUUGGGGGCAUCCGUAUUUCGUUGUCAGAGGUGAAAUUCUUGGAUUUACGAAAGACGAACAACUGCGAAAGCACUUGCCAAGAGUGUUUUCAUUAAUCAAGAACGAAAGUUAGAGGAUCGA